This 304-nucleotide long non-coding RNA is filed under the name Hordeum vulgare. Its description in RNAcentral is "long non-coding RNA (HVUL_LNC004219)". Lineage: Eukaryota; Viridiplantae; Streptophyta; Magnoliopsida; Poales; Poaceae. The record is from RNAcentral.
AGAAUGAGAAGGAAAAUGAUAAAAAGUUAGAAGAACAGCUGAAAGAUGAGCUUCUUCUUUCUUUCUUCUUAUUAUUUUCCUUCUCUAUCUUCUUCUUCUUCUUCUAGUAUUCUUCUUCUUCUUCUUCUUCUUCUUCUAGUAUCCUUCUUCUUCUUCUUCUUCUCCUCCUUCUUCUUCUUCUUCUUCUUCUUCUUCUUCUCCUUAUUGUUCUUAUUCUUGUUCUUCUGACUUCCUUAUUCCCAUUCUCCAGAUUCGAUUCACUUCAUGUAACCUGGCUUGAUGGACUCCUAGUGUUUAGUUUUUA